This 907-nucleotide ribosomal RNA is filed under the name uncultured bacterium. RNAcentral describes it as "bacterial SSU rRNA". It matches the Rfam family "Bacterial small subunit ribosomal RNA", at positions 597 to 1504 of the family's 1533-position model. The record is from RNAcentral.
AAUGUUUCGGGCUCAACCUGAAAACCUGCCUUUGUGACUGCAGUUCUUGAGUAUGGCAGAGGCUAGUGGAAUUACAGGUGUAGCGGUGGAAUGCGUAGAUAUCUGUAAGAACACCAGAGGCGAAGGCGACUAGCUGGGCCAAUACUGACGCUGAGGCUCGAAAGUGUGGGGAGCAAACAGGAUUAGAUACCCUGGUAGUCCACACCGUAAACGAUGAACACUAGAUGUCGGGGGAGUUGUCCUUCGGUGUCGACGCAAACGCAAUAAGUGUUCCGCCUGGGGAGUACGCUCGCAAGGGUGAAACUCAAAGGAAUUGACGGGGGCCCGCACAAGCGGUGGAGCAUGUGGUUUAAUUCGAUGCAACGCGCAGAACCUUACCUGGACUUGACAUGGGAAUGACCGCAUGAGAGAUCGUGCUUUCUCUUCGGAGACAUUCCGCACAGGUGCUGCAUGGCUGUCGUCAGCUCGUGUCGUGAGACGUUCGGUUAAGUCCGGCAACGAGCGCAACCCUCGUCCUUAGUUGCCAUCAUUAAGUUGGGCACUCUAGGGAGACUGCCCGGGUCAACCGGGAGGAAGGUGGGGACGACGUCAAGUCCUCAUGGCCCUUACGUCCAGGGCUACACACGUGCUACAAUGGUCGGUACAAUGGGUUGCAAGAUCGCGAGAUGGAGCUAAUCCCCAAAGCCGACCUCAGUUCAGAUUGGAGUCUGCAACUCGACUCCAUGAAGCUGGAAUCGCUGGUAAUCGUGGAUCAGCAUGCCACGGUGAAUACGUUCCCGGGCCUUGUACACACCGCCCGUCAAGCCACGAAAGAAGAGAGCGCUCUAAGCCGCCGGUCCAACCGUAAGGAGGGCAGCGUCUAAAGCGAGAUCUUUGAUUGGGGCUAAGUCGUAACAAGGUAACCGUA